RNAcentral lists this ribosomal RNA (301 nucleotides) under uncultured bacterium. RNAcentral describes it as "partial 16S ribosomal RNA". It matches the Rfam family "Bacterial small subunit ribosomal RNA", at positions 509 to 807 of the family's 1533-position model. The record is from RNAcentral.
CAGUCGCCGCGGGAAUACGUAGGGUGCGAGCGUUAAUCGGAAUUACUGGGCGUAAAGCGUGCGCAGGCGGUUUUGUAAGACAGAGGUGAAAUCCCCGGGCUCAACCUGGGAACUGCCUUUGUGACUGCAAGGCUAGAGUACGGCAGAGGGGGAUGGAAUUCCGCGUGUAGCAGUGAAAUGCGUAGAUAUGCGGAGGAACACCGAUGGCGAAGGCAAUCCCCUGGGCCUGUACUGACGCUCAUGCACGAAAGCGUGGGGAGCAAACAGGAUUAGAGACCCCUGUAGUCCCUGUCUCUUAUAC